This 65-nucleotide transfer RNA is filed under the name Conocephalus melaenus. Its description in RNAcentral is "tRNA-Ile". Lineage: Eukaryota; Metazoa; Arthropoda; Insecta; Orthoptera; Tettigoniidae. The record is from RNAcentral.
AAUGAAGUGCCUGAAAAAAGGAUUACUGUGAUAGAGUAAAUAAUGUAAUUAAAUUACCUUCAUUG